UCUCGCUGUCGCUGGACGGGUGAGCUCUAGUUUCAUGUGGCAUUCGAUCAUGACUAGAGUCACACUCGUCCAGCGACCGGGACA
This is a microRNA precursor of Lasius niger, 84 nucleotides long. Lineage: Eukaryota; Metazoa; Arthropoda; Insecta; Hymenoptera; Formicidae. The record is from Rfam.